ACGCUCGACACCUACGGGGGGCAGCAGUGGGGAAUAUUGCACAAUGGGGGAAACCCUGAUGCAGCGACGCCGCGUGAGCGAAGAAGUAUUUCGGUAUGUAAAGCUCUAUCAGCAGGGAAGAAACUGACGGUACCUGACUAAGAAGCACCGGCUAAAUACGUGCCAGCAGCCCGGUAAUCUGAGCGGGCUGGCAAGGC
Molecule: ribosomal RNA, 197 nt
Filed under: uncultured bacterium
Lineage: Bacteria
Description: partial 16S ribosomal RNA
Rfam family: Bacterial small subunit ribosomal RNA
Source: RNAcentral